RNAcentral lists this ribosomal RNA (783 nucleotides) under Triticum aestivum (bread wheat). RNAcentral's name for it is "partial small subunit ribosomal RNA". The record is from RNAcentral. Lineage: Eukaryota; Viridiplantae; Streptophyta; Magnoliopsida; Poales; Poaceae.
AUGCAGCAACAUAUCAUUGCUGCUUUCCACGACAGCCCGAUGGGCGGUCAUUCUGGGUUCCCAGUGACUUAUCGCCGUGUCCGCCGUUUAUUUGCUUGGCCCAAGAUGAAAACACACAUCCAACAAUACGUGAGAUGCUGCCAGGUCUGCCAACAAGCCAAGCCAGAUAGAACAGCUUCGCCGGGCUUGUUGUUACCCCUUCCUAUACCCAAGGAGUCGUGGGACCUCAUCACCAUGGAUUUUGUGGACGGCCUACCUCAGUCCGGACAAUACAACUGCUUGCUGGUUGUUGUCGACAAAAGAACCCGGUUUGCUCACUUUCUUCCCUUGGCUCACCCGUACACAGCAUCUAAAGUGGCACUGCUCUACAUGCAACAGUUAUACAAACUCCAUGGAUUCCCAGGAGCCAUUGUGUCCGAUCGCGACCCAGUCUUUACCAGUCACUUUUGGCAGGAGUUGUUCAAGUAUGCAGGCACCGAGCUACGGAUGAGCACAGCAAACCACCCACAGACCGACGGGCAAACCGAGAGGGUGAACCAAUGCAUCAAGACCUACCUUCGUUGCUUUGUGCAAGCCUGUCCGAAAUGGUGGAGCUUUUGGGUUCCCUUGGCCCAAUUCUGGUACAACUCUUCUCACCACUCAGCAAUCGGGAUGACACCAUUCAAGGCCAUGUUCGGCAGGGAGCCACAACAUUGGGGAAUUACGGCAUCUACUUCAUCUUCGGUACCAGCGCUGCAAACUUGGCUCGAAGAGCGAGCUGUCAUGCAAGACUUGAUACAGCAG